GCUCACUGGCUCGAAUUAAACAAGGCUUAACCUCGAAAUAUAAGAAUAAGUAGGAAACAGCUCGCGCGUGCUCCAUUCAUAAAUACAAAUGAGGUAUUGAUGACGCUGCCGGACAGAUUCCAAAAACAAUAAAAUCUUUUG
This is a non-coding RNA of Caenorhabditis elegans, 141 nucleotides long. The record is from Ensembl. NCBI's taxonomy places the organism in Eukaryota, Metazoa, Nematoda, Chromadorea, Rhabditida, Rhabditidae.